AGAGAAUAGAUACCCGGGUAGUCCACGCCCUAAACGAUGGAUACUAAGUAGGGGACCCUGCAAGGGGUUCCUUGCCGGAGCAAAAAAGCGUUAAAGUAUCCCGCCUGGGGAGUAUGGUCGCAAGGCUGAAACUCAAAAGAAUUGACGGGGGCUCACACAAGCGGUGGAGCAUGUUGCUUAAAUUCGAUGCAACGCGAAGAACCUUACCCGGGCUCGAAGUGUACGGAUUAGCUCUAUGAAAGUAGAGUGACACCUUAACCGGUGGAACGUAUAAAGGUGUUGCAUGGCUGUCGUCAGCUCGUGUCGUGAGAUGUCGGGUUAAGUCCCUUAACGAGCGAAACCCCUGUCCUUAGUUGCCAUCGGGUCAUGCCGGGAACUCUAGGGAGACUGCCGGUGUUAAACCGGAGGAAGGUGGGGAUGGCGUCAAGUCAUCAUGGCCCUUACGUCCGGGGCGGCAAACGUGCUACAAUGGCCAUUACAGCGCGACGCAAGACCGCGAGGUGGAGCAAAUCGCUUAAAAAUAGGCCCCAGUUCGGAUUGGGAGGCUGCAAUUCGCCCCCACUGAAGCC
Molecule: ribosomal RNA, 569 nt
Filed under: uncultured bacterium
Lineage: Bacteria
Description: bacterial SSU rRNA
Rfam family: Bacterial small subunit ribosomal RNA
Source: RNAcentral